AAAGGACAGAAAUGUAGGGAUUUUAUCAGAGCUGGCCUGAUCUCCACACAGAAAGCUACAAGAUGAACAAGUUUCUCGCCCUGAUCCUGAUCCCAUGCCUAGUGGCCUUUGUUGUGGCCCAGUACCCCGGAUAUGGUACCCCCGGGUACGGGAUGGCAGGCUACGGUUCCGGUAGCGGUCUGAGUAACUACUACUACAAUUACGGAAACCAACAACAGAAACAGAGCUCCAAUUUCGCUCUCUUGAUCUCUGGUCUCCUGCUGUUGUUCGCCUUCAACAUAACCGGAACCCUGACUGGUUAAACGUAACCCAGGGAGGUGGAGAUCGGCCGGGUACUCAUAAAAAUCAUGAUUCCACAGGACUACCAAACAUAGCUGUGAUAUUGCGCGAUGUAUCUGUAUUGUUGUUGUUGCUAUUGUUUUGUACUAUUAUUAAAAACACUAUUCGAUAAA
This 452-nucleotide long non-coding RNA is filed under the name Mizuhopecten yessoensis (Yesso scallop). RNAcentral describes it as "uncharacterized LOC110462350". Lineage: Eukaryota; Metazoa; Mollusca; Bivalvia; Pectinida; Pectinidae. The record is from RNAcentral.